This is a long non-coding RNA of Salvia miltiorrhiza (redroot sage), 1015 nucleotides long. RefSeq lists it as uncharacterized. Lineage: Eukaryota; Viridiplantae; Streptophyta; Magnoliopsida; Lamiales; Lamiaceae. The transcript is spliced from 2 exons. The record is from RefSeq and is a predicted model, not a curated record.
AAGUGGGAAAUCCUAACCAACCACUCCAUCCAACACAUUCAGCACAUUUUUCAAGGCUUGGAGAGCAAGAUAGGAUGCCUAUAAAAGCCAAGAAUGAGCUCCCAUUUCGAGUGUGGAUUUUCGAGAUAAAAGCUUGUUGUUUGUGUACGAGUGUUCUGCUAGGUGCUCAAUUAAACAUUAGGUUUAACACUCAUUGUUUUCGUCAGAUUUCGGAGUAUAGCCCUUGAAUCCAAUUUGUGUUCUUUUGUGAGAGUGUUCCUAGUCCAAUACCUAAGUCAUUGUAAAGGACCCAUGAUCUUAAUUUCAACCAACAUUCCAGAUUAGUAGACUAGCAGUUUUUGGAGGUGGAUUGUAGCAGUUAUAAGAACGUUCUAGAAGUGGGAAGUGGAUGAAACUAACCACGACAUGAAGGACUAUAAAAGAAGCAAGACGCCUCAUUCAUUCUUAGGUUUUGGGAGUGAUUUUUCACCGACCUAACAUUCGCUUACAACCAACUCGUCAUUUUGUCUUGCUGCAAACAUGACAACAGUUCUUCAAACCUUGCUUUGACGGAAGAGUCUUAGGCAGUCAAUCUGUAAAGACUUGCUCUGUAUUGACGGGAGGUCAAAGGUAAGGGUUAAGAUCGAGGACAUUGGAGCGUAGCAGACUGUUUUGUCCGAGUUAUUCGGCUAUGUUGUUUCAACAUUUCUGCUGCAAACGUGAUACCUAUUCUUCAAGGAUGGCUUUGACGAAUGGAGCUUAGGCAGCUAAUCUGUAAAGUCUCACUUUGUAUUGACAGGGAGGUCAAGGGCAAGAAUUGAAGUACAAGACCAUUGGAGCAUAGCAGUAUGUUUUGGUUCUGUGUUGAUUCGACAUUCUAGUGCAGUGAGUAGAUAGGUAGAUUUAUCUUAGGCAGCCAAUCUGUAAAGAUAGAUCUCCAAGAGAUCUCAAAUCUGUACUUUGAAUUAUUGAUGAUCAUAGUGUUUUUAGCCUUGAGGCACUCGCGGAUUAUAUUUAUAUAAUCCAUAAAAGGGUA